Molecule: ribosomal RNA, 435 nt
Filed under: uncultured bacterium
Lineage: Bacteria
Description: partial 16S ribosomal RNA
Rfam family: Bacterial small subunit ribosomal RNA
Source: RNAcentral
AGCGAACGCUGGCGGCAGGCUUAACACAUGCAAGUCGAACGGGCAUCUUCGGAUGUCAGUGGCAGACGGGUGAGUAACACGUGGGAACGUACCCUUCGGUUCGGAAUAACUCAGGGAAACUUGAGCUAAUACCGGAUACGCCCUUUUGGGGAAAGGUUUACUGCCGAAGGAUCGGCCCGCGUCUGAUUAGCUUGUUGGUGGGGUAACGGCCUACCAAGGCGACGAUCAGUAGCUGGUCUGAGAGGAUGAUCAGCCACACUGGGACUGAGACACGGCCCAGACUCCUACGGGAGGCAGCAGUAGGGAAUAUUGGACAAUGGGCGCAAGCCUGAUCCAGCCAUGCCGCGUGAGUGAUGAAGGCCUUAGGGUUGUAAAGCUCUUUUGUCCGGGACGAUAAUGACGGUACCGGAAGAAUAAGCCCCGGCUAACUUCGUG